GACGAACGCUGGCGGCGUGCUUAACACAUGCAAGUCGAACGGAAAGGCUCCAGCUUGCUGGAGUACUCGAGUGGCGAACGGGUGAGUAACACGUGGGUGAUCUGCCCUGCACUUCGGGAUAAGCCUGGGAAACUGGGUCUAAUACCGGAUAGGACCGCACUUUGGUGUGUGUGGUGGAAAGGUUUUUCUGGUGUGGGAUGAGCUCGCGGCCUAUCAGUUUGUUGGUGGGGUAAUGGCCUACCAAGACGGCGACGGGUAGCCGGCCUGAGAGGGUGGACGGUCACAUUGGGACUGAGAUACGGCCCAGACUCCUACGGGAGGCAGCAGUGGGGAAUAUUGCACAAUGGGGGAAACCCUGAUGCAGCGACGCCGCGUGGGGGAUGAAGGCCUUCGGGUUGUAAACUCCUUACGCUAGGGACGAAGCUUUUUGUGACGGUACCUGGAGAAGAAGCACCGGCUAACUACGUG
This 468-nucleotide ribosomal RNA is filed under the name uncultured bacterium. Its description in RNAcentral is "partial 16S ribosomal RNA". It matches the Rfam family "Bacterial small subunit ribosomal RNA", at positions 28 to 507 of the family's 1533-position model. The record is from RNAcentral.